AGUGAACGCUGGCGGUAGGCCUAACACAUGCAAGUCGAACGGCAGCACAGUAAGAGCUUGCUCUUACGGGUGGCGAGUGGCGGACGGGUGAGGAACACAUCGGAAUCUACUUUUUCGUGGGGGAUAAUGUAGGGAAACUUACGCUAAUACCGCAUACGACCUACGGGUGAAAGCAGGGGAUCUUCGGACCUUGCGCGAUUGAAUGAGCCGAUGUCGGAUUAGCUAGUUGGCGGGGUAAAGGCCCACCAAGGCGACGAUCCGUAGCUGGUCUGAGAGGAUGAUCAGCCACACUGGAACUGAGACACGGUCCAGACUCCUACGGGAGGCGGCAGUGGGGAAUAUUGGACAAUGGGCGCAAGCCUGAUCCAGCCAUACCGCGUGGGUGAAGAAGGCCUUCGGGUUGUAAAGCCCUUUUGUUGGGAAAGAAAAGCAGCAGGUUAAUACCCCGCUGUUCUGACGGUACCCAAAGAAUAAGCACCGGCUAACUUCGUG
RNAcentral lists this ribosomal RNA (492 nucleotides) under uncultured bacterium. RNAcentral's name for it is "partial 16S ribosomal RNA". It matches the Rfam family "Bacterial small subunit ribosomal RNA", at positions 29 to 507 of the family's 1533-position model. The record is from RNAcentral.